Molecule: long non-coding RNA, 610 nt
Organism: Lolium rigidum
Lineage: Eukaryota; Viridiplantae; Streptophyta; Magnoliopsida; Poales; Poaceae
Exons: 2
Source: RefSeq, a predicted model, not a curated record
UUCUACUUUCACUUAUCUUUCUCUGCUUGGACGGACUGUUCUUGAAGCAUGUAGCAACUAGCAACAACGAUCUUGAUCUGUGUAUGGAGAUUUCACCAAGGUGAGCUCCAUGAGAGGUUGGUUAGUACGGCAACAAGCCUGAGAGACAGCAGCCUCAUGGAUUCAGCUCGCGACCGUGGCGACGGAGCUCAUCGAUUCUGCCCGUCGGUGGCAUAAAUCUUGUCUCGCUGAUGGGGAUGGGGCGCUAGCCUUCUCGAUGCAGCCUGCGGAGAGAUGGGGCGCUCGCGAUUUGCUGGAUCUGCAUGAAAUUUGGAGAUAGAGCUCGAUGCAAACUCAAAUGGCUGAGAUCGAUGGGAUCGGAAUCUUGAAGAUGGACAGUCAUGUUCUGGAGGGAAGAAGAGGAGGCGUGAAAGGGUAUGGACUGAAGAGGUGGACUUGUGAACAGGUUUUGACGGGGUCAGCAGUAUUACGGAUUUGGGUUUGGGCUGGACUUGGCAUGGGCCAGACAAUUAAUUACGAGCUGUAACUAGCGAGCCAUAACUAGCACAAGGUGGAAGAAUUUUCGUACAAAGAUCGGACGGGAAUUGUCGUGUGUGAAGCAAUUCCGGUU